Molecule: transfer RNA, 75 nt
Filed under: Deltaproteobacteria bacterium
Lineage: Bacteria; Pseudomonadati; Myxococcota; Myxococcia
Also listed under: 2 other names
Description: tRNA-Gly
Rfam family: tRNA
About the family: Transfer RNA (tRNA) molecules are approximately 80 nucleotides in length. Their secondary structure includes four short double-helical elements and three loops (D, anti-codon, and T loops).
Source: RNAcentral
GCGGGCGUAACUCAGUGGUAGAGUGCAACCUUGCCAAGGUUGAAGUCGGGGGUUCAAAUCCCCUCGCCCGCUCCA